AAGCCAGAUGUGAAAGCCCGCCGCUUAACCGGGGGAGUGCAUUGGAAACUGGGAGACUUGAGUGCAGAAGAGGAGAGUGGAACUCCAUGUGUAGCGGUGAAAUGCGUAGAUAUAUGGAAGAACACCAGUGGCGAAAGCGGCUCUCUGGUCUGUAACUGACGCUGAGGUUCGAAAGCGUGGGUAGCAAAC
RNAcentral lists this ribosomal RNA (189 nucleotides) under uncultured bacterium. RNAcentral's name for it is "partial 16S ribosomal RNA". It matches the Rfam family "Bacterial small subunit ribosomal RNA", at positions 585 to 773 of the family's 1533-position model. The record is from RNAcentral.